UUUAAAGUGGUACGCGAGCUGGGUUUAGAACGUCGUGAGACAGUUCGGUCCCUAUCUGCCGUGGGCGCUGGAGAACUGAGGGGGGCUGCUCCUAGUACGAGAGGACCGGAGUGGACGCAUCACUGGUGUUCGGGUUGUCAUGCCAAUGGCACUGCCCGGUAGCUAAAUGCGGAAGAGAUAAGUGCUGAAAGCAUCUAAGCACGAAACUUGCCCCGAGAUGAGUUCUCCCUGAGACUUAGAGUCUCCUGAAGGAACGUUGAAGACGACGACGUUGAUAGGCCGGGUGUGUAAGCGCAGCGAUGCGUUGAGCUAACCGGUACUAAUGAACCGUGAGGCUUAACCUUAC
Molecule: ribosomal RNA, 346 nt
Filed under: Salmonella enterica
Lineage: Bacteria; Pseudomonadati; Pseudomonadota; Gammaproteobacteria; Enterobacterales; Enterobacteriaceae
Description: partial 23S ribosomal RNA
Rfam family: Bacterial large subunit ribosomal RNA
Source: RNAcentral